RNAcentral lists this ribosomal RNA (253 nucleotides) under uncultured bacterium. RNAcentral describes it as "partial 16S ribosomal RNA". It matches the Rfam family "Bacterial small subunit ribosomal RNA", at positions 524 to 776 of the family's 1533-position model. The record is from RNAcentral.
UACGGGGGGUGCGAGCGUUAAUCGGAAUUACUGGGCGUAAAGGGCACGCAGGCGGACUUUUAAGUGAGGUGUGAAAUCCUUGAGCUUAACUGUGGAAUUGCAAUUCAUACUGGGAGUCUAGAGUACUGUAGGGAGAGGGAGAAUUCCGCGUGUAGCGGUGAAAUGCGUAGAUAUGCGGAAGAACACCAAUGGCGAAGGCAGCCUCUUGGGAAUGUACUGACGCUGAUGGGCGAAAGCGUGGGGAGCAAACAGG